AGAGGGUUGGCAGAAUUGGUUAUUGCACCAGUCUUGAAAACUGGCGACCGAAAGGUUAUAAGGGUUCGAGUCCCUUGCCCUCUGCCA
RNAcentral lists this transfer RNA (87 nucleotides) under bacterium. Its description in RNAcentral is "tRNA-Ser". It matches the Rfam family "tRNA". Rfam says of the family: Transfer RNA (tRNA) molecules are approximately 80 nucleotides in length. Their secondary structure includes four short double-helical elements and three loops (D, anti-codon, and T loops). The record is from RNAcentral.